Molecule: ribosomal RNA, 440 nt
Filed under: uncultured bacterium
Lineage: Bacteria
Description: partial 16S ribosomal RNA
Rfam family: Bacterial small subunit ribosomal RNA
Source: RNAcentral
CCUACGGGAGGCUGCAGUGGGGAAUAUUGCACAAUGGGGGAAACCCUGAUGCAGCGACGCCGCGUGAGUGAAGAAGUAUUUCGGUACGUAAAGCUCUAUCAGCAGGGAAGAAAAUGACGGUACCUGACUAAGUAGCCCCGGCUAACUACGUGCCAGCAGCCACGGUAAUACGUAGGGGGCAAGCGUUAUCCGGAUUUACUGGGUGUAAAGGGAGCGUAGACGGCAGCGCAAGUCAGGAGUGAAAUCCCAUGGCUUAACCAUGGAACUGCUUUGGAUACUGGGCAGCUAGAGUGCAGGAGAGGGAAGCGGAAUUCCAAGUGUAGCGGUGAAAUGCGUAGAUAUUAGGAGGAACACCAGUGGCGAAGGCGGCUUACUGGACUGUAACUGACGUUGAGGCGCGAAAGCGUGGGGAGCAAACAGGAUUAGAUACCCGGGUAGUC